This 496-nucleotide ribosomal RNA is filed under the name Streptomyces sp. BC594. RNAcentral describes it as "bacterial SSU rRNA". It matches the Rfam family "Bacterial small subunit ribosomal RNA", at positions 39 to 530 of the family's 1533-position model. Lineage: Bacteria; Bacillati; Actinomycetota; Actinomycetes; Kitasatosporales; Streptomycetaceae. The record is from RNAcentral.
ACGUCACAAACAACUGCGCGGGGUCGCUUAACAGCAUGCAAUGUCGAACGAUGGAUAGCCCUUCGGGGUGGAUUAUUGGCGAACGGGUGAUUAACACUUGGGCAAUCUGCCCUGCACUCUGGGACAAGCCCUGGAAACGGGGUCUAAUACCGGAUAUGACCGUCCAUCGCAUGGUGGAUGGUGUAAAGCUCCGGCGGUGCAGGAUGAGCCCGCGGCCUAUCAGCUAUUUGGUGAGGUAGUGGCUCACCAAGGCGACGAACGGGUAGCCGGCCUGAGAGGGCGACCGGCCACACUGGGACUGAGACACGGCCCAAACUCCUACGGGAGGCAGCAGUGGGGAAUAUUGCACAAUGGGCGAAAGCCUGAUGCAUCGACGCCGCGUGAGGGAUGACGGCCUUCGGGUUGUAAACCUCUUUCAGCAGGGAAGAAGCGAAAGUGAUGGUUCCUGCAGAAAAAAACCGGCUAACUACUUGCUACCAGCCGCGGUAGUACUUAG